AACGAACGCUGGCGGCAUGCCUAACACAUGCAAGUCGAACGAGACCUUCGGGUCUAGUGGCGCACGGGUGCGUAACGCGUGGGAACCUGCCCUUAGGUUCGGAAUAACUCCCCGAAAGGGGUGCUAAUACCGGAUAAUGUCUUCGGACCAAAGAUUUAUCGCCUUUGGAUGGGCCCGCGUUGGAUUAGCUAGUUGGUAGUGUAAAAGCCUACCAAGGCGACGAUCCAUAGCUGGUCUGAGAGGAUGAUCAGCCACACUGGGACUGAGACACGGCCCAGACUCCUACGGGAGGCAGCAGUGGGGAAUAUUGGACAAUGGGCGAAAGCCUGAUCAAGCAAUGCCGCGUGAGUGAUGAAGGCCUUAGGGUUGGAAAGCUCUUUUACCCGGGAUGAAAAUGACAGUACCGGGAGAAUAAGCUCCGGCUAACUCCGUG
Molecule: ribosomal RNA, 433 nt
Filed under: uncultured bacterium
Lineage: Bacteria
Description: partial 16S ribosomal RNA
Rfam family: Bacterial small subunit ribosomal RNA
Source: RNAcentral